Molecule: ribosomal RNA, 295 nt
Filed under: uncultured bacterium
Lineage: Bacteria
Description: partial 16S ribosomal RNA
Rfam family: Bacterial small subunit ribosomal RNA
Source: RNAcentral
GACGAACGCUGGCGGCGUGCCUAAUACAUGCAAGUCGAGCGAAUUUAUGGGAGCUUGCUCCCAUAAAUUAGCGGCGGACGGGUGAGUAACACGCGGGCAACCUGCCUAUAAGACUGGGAUAACUUCGGGAAACCGGAGCUAAUACCGGAUAAUUCCUUUCCUCACAUGGGGGAAGGCUGAAAGAUGGUUUACGCUAUCACUUAUAGAUGGGCCCGCGGCGCAUUAGCUAGUUGGUGAGGAACGGCUCACCAAGGCAACGAUGCGUAGCCGACCUGAGAGGGUGAUCGGCCACACU